GUUGGCUUGGCCUCCAAAUCCUCGCCCUUUGCCUUUGUUAGAUCUUGGACCCUUGUUGAAAUUCGGUCUUUCUCCUUGGCGAAACUUGGUAUGUCCACCAGAAUGUUGUAUAAUCUUCCUUUCCGCCUCUAACACAAUCUCAACAUUAACAGCUUUUUCCACCAGAUCCGAUAAGCUGCUAAAGUUGCUUCCAGCUAAACGACUUCCA
RNAcentral lists this long non-coding RNA (208 nucleotides) under Brassica napus (rape). RNAcentral describes it as "long non-coding RNA (BNAP_LNC010685)". Lineage: Eukaryota; Viridiplantae; Streptophyta; Magnoliopsida; Brassicales; Brassicaceae. The record is from RNAcentral.